This 249-nucleotide unclassified non-coding RNA is filed under the name Hevea brasiliensis (rubber tree). The record is from RNAcentral. Lineage: Eukaryota; Viridiplantae; Streptophyta; Magnoliopsida; Malpighiales; Euphorbiaceae.
UCUGCCUUUUGUACCUUAGCAUCUUAAAGGCUUCCAAAUAAUCAUCCAAAUCUUCUUUCAGACAGAAAAAGCUGUCAAUCCACAGUAGACCCCCUGGCCUCAAAACUCUAUUUCAAUCAUACAAUAUAAUGUCCCAGGAGCACAAAAUCAAUCCAACCAUCAAGAAUUCUGGUUGUGCAUCAAAUCCAGGGUAUUAUCAAAGAAUGGAAGCUGUUGAUUUAUAGUUAACUAAAGAGGUGCAAUUCCCCG